Long non-coding RNA from Pollicipes pollicipes, 533 nucleotides. RefSeq lists it as uncharacterized. Lineage: Eukaryota; Metazoa; Arthropoda; Thecostraca; Pollicipedomorpha; Pollicipedidae. The transcript is spliced from 3 exons. The record is from RefSeq and is a predicted model, not a curated record.
CCGUCCUCUACAGCGGGCCAUAACUCGGUGGUCCACCGCUCCAGAGUCAAGUCGUGGAAGCUGCGCCAGUGGAGGCACAGCCGACCGGAAGUCGAUCGGUCACUGGAAAGCAUUGCUGCGUAUGGAGCAACAACAGGUCACUCUGCCAGACAAAUAAGUCCGAGCCUCCCAGCCCAGCACUCCGUACAUCCCAACAAGAGUUUGGGAACCACUGCCGACGACCCGGCGGUCCGGAGAAAACCUCUUCUUGUAGCGCCCGGUAACAGAAAACACACACACAACAUGACGGGACGGUUUGGUUCCACGCCUCGGACUCGGAACCCACGCCGAAUGCCUGCAAUGUUUUGCUGACUAACGUGCGGUUCUGCGCCUGGGCACAAGUCACCACACAGCAGCAGCCUUCGCCAGCCAACACCAAUGGCGCGCGCUAAUCUGUGUCUUUCACUGGAAGUCAGGGCGCAACCGAGGUGUGAAAUGGGCGAAUGAUAGAUGCUUGUUGUGUAGAAGUUAAAUCGCGAUACAGCGUCACUAGC